This 409-nucleotide ribosomal RNA is filed under the name bacterium. RNAcentral's name for it is "partial 16S ribosomal RNA". It matches the Rfam family "Bacterial small subunit ribosomal RNA", at positions 355 to 776 of the family's 1533-position model. RNAcentral also lists the same sequence under 1 other name. The record is from RNAcentral.
UGGGGAAUAUUGCACAAUGGGCGAAAGCCUGAUGCAGCGACGCCGCGUGAGGGAUGACGGCCUUCGGGUUGUAAACCUCUUUCAGCAGGGACGAAGCGCAAGUGACGGUACCAGCAGAAGAAGCACCGGCUAACUACGUGCCAGCAGCCGCGGUAAUACGUAGGGUGCAAGCGUUGUCCGGAAUUACUGGGCGUAAAGAGUUCGUAGGCGGUUUGUCGCGUCGUUUGUGAAAACCAGCAGCUCAACUGCUGGCUUGCAGGCGAUACGGGCAGACUUGAGUACUGCAGGGGAGACUGGAAUUCCUGGUGUAGCGGUGAAAUGCGCAGAUAUCAGGAGGAACACCGGUGGCGAAGGCGGGUCUCUGGGCAGUAACUGACGCUGAGGAACGAAAGCGUGGGUAGCGAACAGG